This 293-nucleotide ribosomal RNA is filed under the name uncultured eukaryote. RNAcentral describes it as "partial 18S ribosomal RNA". It matches the Rfam family "Eukaryotic small subunit ribosomal RNA", at positions 6 to 291 of the family's 1831-position model. The record is from RNAcentral.
GGUUGAUCCUGCCAGUAACAUAUGCUUGUCUCAAAGACUAAGCCAUGCAUGUCUAAGUAUAAGCAACUUUAUACUGUGAAACUGCGUACAGCUCAUUAUAUCAGCAAUUAUUUAUUUGAUGGUUCAUUACUACUUGGAUAACCGUGGUAAUUCUAGAGCUAAUACAUGCAACUAAAAUCCUAACUCUUGCGGGGAAGGAUGUAUUUAUUAGAUAAAAAACCAACGUGGUCUCUUGACCUCUCACUUGGUGACUCAUAAUAACUGUUCGAAUCGCAUAGCCUUGUGCUGGCGAU